Patella vulgata (common limpet) is the source of this 1361-nucleotide long non-coding RNA. RefSeq lists it as uncharacterized. The record is from RefSeq and is a predicted model, not a curated record. The transcript has 5 exons. NCBI's taxonomy places the organism in Eukaryota, Metazoa, Mollusca, Gastropoda, Patellidae.
CCAUUAUCUAAAUCCCGGAAGAUAUUUUGAAGCUGUUAAACAUUCGAAGAAAAUCACGUGGCCAGGAUUCAUAAUAACAGUAAAACAUCAAUAGACAGAUGGAAUACUUUUGGGCUAACACUGACUGCAGUAAACAUGCUGUUGUGCAAGGAAUUGGUGUUAUUUUACUUCUUGUGGAUUUGGCAUUAUACUAAAGCAGGGAAUAUUAUGAAUAUAACUAGCAAUGUAAGAGAAGUUAGUAUAGGAGAUUCAUACAGUGUCACAUGUAGAACUUUAUACAAUCUAGUUGAUUUCUAUAAAAAUAAUACAAACAUAGCUAGACCAACACGUCUUUAUCCUUUUGCACCUUGUAUUGUAAACAACAUGAAUAGUUUCAACUGUACCAUAACCAGAUAUAACAACCGUACAUAUGACCAUCAGUUAAUUAUUCUAUCUGCUGAACGUACUGGUACAACUCAAUGGCAGUGUGGACAUAUCUCCAUAGCAGCCUUUUCAAACAUUCUCUCCGUAACAAUAACUGGUAAAGGGAAUGGCUAUACACCAGGAGUGACAACGAUGCCUACAACUACAGAUAAUGAUGUCGCUGAUAUGAUCACAGAUUCGGCAACCUGUCCUCCAUGUCCUCAAAUACCUCCACCAUCAAAUACCACAGUAAUAGCAUUAAUAGGAGUUGUGUUCGUCCUUUUCCUUCUGUUAAUAUUUACAUUCAUCGUAUUAUUUAUCAAAAUGCACAAAAAUAAACCAGUAGCCACCCAAAAUCAACAAAUACCAGCUGAAGGUCAUUAUGAUGAUUUAGUAAACACAGAUCCUGUUGAAUAUCAACAAUUACAAUUAUAUGAGAAUACUAAACCAUAAAUUCAUGUAUUGUAAAUAGGUAGACAUAUGUACUAUAGAUGUUUACAGGUACUAUAGAUAAGAUGAUGUACAUAGACAAACUGUUUACAUUGUAUACUUAAAGCUGCAUUAUGUAAAAGAUAAAUCUGCAUAUUCCAGGGUUUCUUUCAUGACAUACAUGACAUACAUGACAAGCCCAUGAUCAACUCUCAAUAAGUUGGGACGGCCAUGAUAUUGAAUCUAUUAAAUGGAUUAAAACACUAUCGCCAUUGAACAGUUUGAUGUAAAAAUGGAUCAUCGUAGUAAUCGUACUAGACAAUCGAGACUAUGUUGACCGAACUUUGAACACUAAUGACUUCGCCCAAAGUAUUGUAAUUUGACUGAAGUUUUCAAAAUAUUCAUUUUUCACAAUCUAUUGUGCGAACUAUUAUAGCAAGAACGUUCAGUCCUUUAUCUUAAUCUUACAUAAUGCAUCUUUAAAGGAGUAAACCACAGAUAUAUAACGGUAAAUAAAAUAUUUAAUCAAG